CGGACCGCGAGUGGGGAAGAUGCCAGUUCGUGGACCAUGGUGCACAGCAGAGCGUGAGAAGAGCCACACUCCUAAGCCCCCCUCCAGGUCAGCCCCGGCACGCGACGGAGGGGGCGGGACGAAAGUACCAGCGAGCCGAGGACACGUGUGCGUGCGCGCAGCGUUCGAGGGCGUCUAAAUUAGAAUCCGCUCGGCUCCGGAUCUGUAUUUACCCAGGGUGCAGCGGGCACGUGUCUACUCAGCGUGUGUGAGCUCGAGCCACCCUGGAGCGCCCCUGAGUCCGCCUUCUGCUCGGUGGGCGGGGGCCCUGGACCUCCAUGCAAGAACGAGGGACCAAAGGUGACGCUUUUGACUCCGCAUCCGGGCCCCAAGCUUUGACACCCCCCAACUCUAUGUGCUCAUCUGGCCGGGUGACUACCAGGACAUCUUCAGAAUUCGAGUUUGUGAUAUUCCAUGUAGACAUCUGAUCACCCCUUCCCGGCUGCCACUACAUGGAUACCUCUUCUGCGUAUCCAUGUCCCUCAAUAUGUCCACGGGACCCUCCCCUCCCCACCAUUCGUGGUCUCACCCCAGCAUGGUAAGUUAUUUUGGAGAUGAAUUCUCGCUCCACAGUUGUUUGGCCUCCAGGAAAGCACAGGGUCUGAAGGUGGGGCUAGGAUAGGAAACUUAACAUCCAAUCAGAGCUGCCGCGUGGUGGCGGCGGCGCCAAUCAGGAAAGCCAUACCAUGAACCCCACCCUGCCCCUGCCUGUGGCCCUCCCGGGCCCGCGCUGAUCCCACUCGAUGAUGCCAGCAGAAGGAGAGGUUUCUGUGACACCUGCUGGGGAUACACAAAGUCUGGGGCUUCGGGACCCCAGGUGGGCCCUGAGUGAGGAAACCUCAGGUGCCCUCAGGGAGACAAGGAACUUGGAGAAAGUGAUCGCAAAAAAAAAAAAAAAAAAAAAAAAA
Cercocebus atys (sooty mangabey) is the source of this 947-nucleotide long non-coding RNA. RefSeq lists it as uncharacterized. The transcript is spliced from 2 exons. Lineage: Eukaryota; Metazoa; Chordata; Mammalia; Primates; Cercopithecidae. The record is from RefSeq and is a predicted model, not a curated record.